Molecule: ribosomal RNA, 1336 nt
Filed under: Alcaligenes faecalis
Lineage: Bacteria; Pseudomonadati; Pseudomonadota; Betaproteobacteria; Burkholderiales; Alcaligenaceae
Description: 16S ribosomal RNA
Rfam family: Bacterial small subunit ribosomal RNA
Source: RNAcentral
GGCGAGUGGCGGACGGGUGAGUAAUAUAUCGGAACGUGCCCAGUAGCGGGGGAUAACUACUCGAAAGAGUGGCUAAUACCGCAUACGCCCUACGGGGGAAAGGGGGGGAUCGCAAGACCUCUCACUAUUGGAGCGGCCGAUAUCGGAUUAGCUAGUUGGUGGGGUAAAGGCUCACCAAGGCAACGAUCCGUAGCUGGUUUGAGAGGACGACCAGCCACACUGGGACUGAGACACGGCCCAGACUCCUACGGGAGGCAGCAGUGGGGAAUUUUGGACAAUGGGGGAAACCCUGAUCCAGCCAUCCCGCGUGUAUGAUGAAGGCCUUCGGGUUGUAAAGUACUUUUGGCAGAGAAGAAAAGGUAUCCCCUAAUACGGGAUACUGCUGACGGUAUCUGCAGAAUAAGCACCGGCUAACUACGUGCCAGCAGCCGCGGUAAUACGUAGGGUGCAAGCGUUAAUCGGAAUUACUGGGCGUAAAGCGUGUGUAGGCGGUUCGGAAAGAAAGAUGUGAAAUCCCAGGGCUCAACCUUGGAACUGCAUUUUUAACUGCCGAGCUAGAGUAUGUCAGAGGGGGGUAGAAUUCCACGUGUAGCAGUGAAAUGCGUAGAUAUGUGGAGGAAUACCGAUGGCGAAGGCAGCCCCCUGGGAUAAUACUGACGCUCAGACACGAAAGCGUGGGGAGCAAACAGGAUUUGAUACCCUGGUAGUCCACGCUCCUAAACGUUGUCAACUAGCUGUUGGGGCCGUUAGGCCUUAGUAGCGCAGCUAACGCGUGAAGUUGACCGCCUGGGGAGUACGGUCGCAAGAUUAAAACUCAAAGGAAUUGACGGGGACCCGCACAAGCGGUGGAUGAUGUGGAUUAAUUCGAUGCAACGCGAAAAACCUUACCUACCCUUGACAUGUCUGGAAAGCCGAAGAGAUUUGGCCGUGCUCGCAAGAGAACCGGAACACAGGUGCUGCAUGGCUGUCGUCAGCUCGUGUCGUGAGAUGUUGGGUUAAGUCCCGCAACGAGCGCAACCCUUGUCAUUAGUUGCUACGCAAGAGCACUCUAAUGAGACUGCCGGUGACAAACCGGAGGAAGGUGGGGAUGACGUCAAGUCCUCAUGGCCCUUAUGGGUAGGGCUUCACACGUCAUACAAUGGUCGGGACAGAGGGUCGCCAACCCGCGAGGGGGAGCCAAUCUCAGAAACCCGAUCGUAGUCCGGAUCGCAGUCUGCAACUCGACUGCGUGAAGUCGGAAUCGCUAGUAAUCGCGGAUCAGAAUGUCGCGGUGAAUACGUUCCCGGGUCUUGUACACACCGCCCGUCACACCAUGGGAGUGGGUUUCACCAGAAGU